Molecule: long non-coding RNA, 204 nt
Filed under: Elaeis guineensis (African oil palm)
Lineage: Eukaryota; Viridiplantae; Streptophyta; Magnoliopsida; Arecales; Arecaceae
Description: long non-coding RNA (EGUI_LNC070259)
Source: RNAcentral
UAGGACUAUCCUGGUCAAGAUUUUGCUAAAUUAAAAUAUGACUGUACACAGUUUUUGAACUGGAGUGGUCAAUCCCAUCUUGACACACACACCGACAAGUCAAGUACUUGACUACACCCAGUAGCCUUCCGUCACUGAAUUAGAAAUUCAGGUAGUCCAGUGCCUAAGUGUAGUGAGUUGCUUGCAAGUCACCGUGGUGGUCUC